CGCCUAGCUACGCGAUCGCUGAUGGUGGUUUACCCACUCCUUUUUAGGGUUUCCUCUUGAGCUUUCUAGCACGAAGGCAGCGAGCUCCUUUUUAGGAGUGGGGCGUCGGCGGCGCCUCGAGCGGGGGUGUCUGACGGCGGCGGUGGCCGAUCCCACUAGCCAAACAAUCGGUGGGUUGAUGAGCCCUCUCCCCCCGUCAGCUGCGGCGGCGCCGAGCGAGAUCGGGGCAGCGGGGAUGGGGAGAGGCUAUGCUGUGCUGUGGAGCGGGCAGGGAGGAAGAGACGCUGCGCGUCGAGCUCCCUGAUGCCCGGCCUCCUCUACGGAGCGACCGAGGUUUCCAAGGAGGGUCCAUCCCAGUCAAGUUUGCGGCAGAAAGGCUGCUGCUUUUGAUGAGGUCACGAGGAUAUUGUUUUGGAGCAUCUUCUUGAUUUAUCAGUUCCGAAGCUCCAGGGCAAUGCUCUUUCCGAACUAAGCAACUUCCGAAGAGGGACAUGUUCAAGAAUUUGGCUCCGCUGUUGUGGCACUCUUUUGCACAAUUUCUGAGCUAUUCAAUCUACCCUACACUUUCACCUCCAAAUGUGACAUUAGCUGCAUCGAACCGAGUCUGCAAUGUGCUCACACUUCUCCAGCAACUUAGGAAGAGGUGCAUGUUCAAGAAUUUGCCUCAGUUGUUGUGGCACAAUUUCCGAGCUACUGUAAGUAUGUCAUAAUCCUUGUCUCCUAUGUCAAAAAGCAAAAAAUUGAGCCUAUUGUUUCCACUUUUUUACCACUAUAUUUGGCUACUUACGUACAUAAACAGUGGCUGUAGCAAUCUACCCUGCACUCUCACCUCCAAAUGUGGCAGCAGCUGCAUCGAACUGAGUCUGCAAUGUCCUCACACUUUUCCAGGUACACUUUUAGGUUGACACUUUCAUUGUUCAAAAGGUUCUGCUAGAUGAUGUUGGGCUGGGCUACGUUUGUGCCACUCCUGAGCGUUUCUUUGAGAUGGGUUGGGCUUUAGCAAAUAUGCUUAUUUUACUGACUAGUCACCCUUCUACGAGGUUACUGAAGUUCAUUAUCCGUUGUUUCCUCAGGCUGAUAGAUAAUCCUAGGUUUGUGCCAUCAUUCCUGAUAUUGUGUAUCACAUGUGCUCUUCGUCACAAGUUGCAGAUGUUUGUUUCUUCCCCAAUCCAUUGCAGGACCUCUGUACCGCUGAUAUUUUCUUGUCUGUUCCUAGCGUGUGGAGUGAUGGGACAUUCGAGAACUGUCUCGAGGUGAGUCUUAUUCCUAAGCUGUCUGCUGUCACAAAUUCAUUGUUGGUCCACUGAAGCAGAUGUCACACUAGAUUGAAGAAUCCAACCGAAUAUUGACUGCAUUUCCUUGAAGGAUGAACCUGCAACAGAACCGUGUCUCAAAUAACUAAUGGCUAUUGUCCUAGAAGAUAACAGGCUGGAAAAAUAGACUGAUUUGGUGCUACAGGUGACACGCCAUCUUAUCUCGAAUUGCACAAUGCUGUCGGCCCCCUUAAGAAAACAAAUACAGUUUGUUGCAAUAAGAUAGACUGAUCUGGGCUCUGCAAUUCACUACAAGUGACACGCCAUCUUUUCUUGAAUUGCACAGUGCUGUGGGUUCCUUCAGAAAACAAAUACUGUUUGACUGAUCUGGUCGCUGCAAUUUGCUACAAGUGACGCGCCAAUCCUGUGGGUUGCCUGGCUUUCUUCAUUUCAAACCAUUUGGAAACUUGUAAUACAGGGGAAGAAACUAUGGUCCUCCUCUGCAUUUGGGUGCUAUUUAAACAGCUUCAUUGUGAUUCCAGCGGACCAAUACCAGAGAGUUUGCUUUAUACUGUUAAAAUCAUGGUUGCCCAUGUGAAUUGCCCUCUUAUGGUCAAUGGAGAUUCUUGCCUUGUUGGGGGUUAUACUGUGCGUUGGUAAGUAGGUAGAUUUUCUCUGAGGGGAAUCGGAUCUUAUUGCCCCAGUCAUAGUCAUGAACAUUGACAUUCUCUCUCAGGUCAUAUAUACGAGUGGAUUCAAACUUCAAAACUUGGACUGCUGAUAUAUUUACACAUAUGUACUAUAGUUGUAUCGUAAGUGUGAAUUUGUAUCGAGAAGUACUAGAAUAUUGUGUUUUUUUGACACGAGAAUAGUGUUUCCCAGGCUAAAGACUGCUGAUGCUCAAAACGACACAUUUGGAACGA
RNA transcript from Brachypodium distachyon (stiff brome), 2176 nucleotides. It is a transcript of the gene named CCR4-NOT transcription complex subunit 9, with no coding region annotated. Lineage: Eukaryota; Viridiplantae; Streptophyta; Magnoliopsida; Poales; Poaceae. The record is from RefSeq and is a predicted model, not a curated record. The transcript has 6 exons.